Molecule: ribosomal RNA, 492 nt
Filed under: uncultured bacterium
Lineage: Bacteria
Description: partial 16S ribosomal RNA
Rfam family: Bacterial small subunit ribosomal RNA
Source: RNAcentral
AGUGAACGCUGGCGGUAGGCCUAACACAUGCAAGUCGAACGACAGCACAGUAAGAGCUUGCUCUUACGGGUGGCGAGUGGCGGACGGGUGAGGAAUACAUCGGAAUCUACUUUUUCGUGGGGGAUAACGUAGGGCCACUUACGCUAAUACCGCAUACGACCUACGGGUGAAAGCAGGGGAUCUUCGGACCUUGCGCGAUUGAAUGAGCCGAUGUCGGAUUAGCUAGUUGGCGGGGUAAAGGCCCACCAAGGCGACGAUCCGUAGCUGGUCUGAGAGGAUGAUCAGCCACACUGGAACUGAGACACGGUCCAGACUCCUACGGGAGGCAGCAGUGGGGAAUAUUGGACAAUGGGCGCAAGCCUGAUCCAGCCAUACCGCGUGGGUGAAGAAGGCCUUCGGGUUGUAAAGCCCUUUUGUUGGGAAAGAAAAGCAGCAGGUUAAUACCCCGCUGUUCUGACGGUACCCAAAGAAUAAGCACCGGCUAACUUCGUG